AUUAUAAAUUAAAAGACAGGAAUUCCCGAUUAUAUCUAUCAUUUUUUACAAUUGGAGCCAUGAAAUUUAUAGGAAAGAUUCACUACAAUAUAGUAUCAAUGAUCUAUUCUCUUUUGAUGAAUAUUGCCUUCUACAAACUUAAUUUUUUUUAUAAAAAUUCGCAAGGACACGCAAGAACGUAAAUAUACAUAAAUAUGUAUGCCAUACUUAUUGCUAACUGAUUAUUAACACUUUGCAUUAUCAAGAAAAAAUAAUUAAAAAAGAACAUUUCCAAAAGAAGAAACAAAAUAAGUAAAAUUCCAAAAAAUUCUUUUAGUACUGAUAAAAUUUCAUAAAAAUGAUAUCUUUGAUUUUCAGAGAUAAAGAAGAGAUCCCUUGAAAAUUGUAAAUUUUCCAGGUUUUUUCCAAACAAUAAACACCCUGAAAGACAAUACAGAGAUCGCCGCACCCGUGUUUUUGAGGAUCAAUUUUAGAUAUUUUCGGUCAACGCAAGAUCUCAUUAAAGCCAAAAAUGGAGUUUUCACGGACGGACGACAGACCGUCGCGCCCGUUUCGAAGACGUUGCUUCCUUUUGUGACGUCGUCGCCAAACAAGAAUCGAAUUUGGGAUUUUUCUUGCUGUCUGUGGGCACGCACGAGUAAUGCAUACCGGUCGCGCACUAUUUCCAUCAGGACGAGAAGCCGCGAAAUCCUCUAAGGUCGUCCCGGCGGCACUGCACUAGCGCGGCGUGCACUGCGUCACGAUGCUCGUCCGCUUCGAUUUUCCGCAGUCGUCUGCGACUGUGCAACGCGAACGAUUUUGUGCCAGCAGACGUUUCCCCGUCGCCUACAAGGUACUCGCGAAGAAAGGUUCGCGAGCUCGCCUUUCCUGUUCCUCGGCUAUUUUAAAAGCGGUUUCGAUCUCUUCAACCUUUUAACUACUUUCCUUACUCGAAUAUGCUCGGGUAUCAUGUUGGAAUAUUAUAUCUUGGCUACAAUAUGCAAUCAGAACAGAGGAAUCAGGCAUAGAAGAAAAUGAGCGUUGAUUUAUGAUUUGACGAAAGCCGCACGUCUGUCGUUAUACGACGAGAAGCUUCAAGGAUGACGAAACGGUAAACGCACUUUGCUCGCCGUCCUCGUGGCAGGUUGACGCCUAAGACGAUGCUUCAUGAAUAGUCGAAGCAUAAUGAUUUGGAACGUUGGACUGUUAUAGAACAGCUUAGACACAUUGUCAAAAACAUAGAGCCAAUGCUCUCCCUCCGCAUAUUUAAUUUAAUCUUUACCGAUUUACUUUCCAACUGGAUCUGUUACUGUCAAGAAACUGUACAAUCUUGAACAGAAAUAACGAGUGACCUGAUGAUUUAACUAGUUAACACAUCUCAAGAUUCUAUGCACCUGCACGAAAUAAUACACCGACGUAAGCGGAAGACAGAAAACUUUAUGUAAUAACGUAUUUCUAAUCUUAUCUUUUUAUUUUAUGUAAUUUUGGUCACUUCUUGUAUAGGGUAAGCAAAUAACAUUUGCAGAUUAAAUUUAAUUACGUAAGUGCAAAAUAUUCUCUUAUGUUCCUUGCAUUAAUCAUUCAAUUUAACAUCUCUAAUUGUAUUAUAGUUUAAUUGGAGCGAAAUGAUCGAAAGGACGAUUGGUUUUAGAGUGUGAUAAAGCGGAUGAAACGUGAUCAGCAGAUCGACCGAUGCAUUCCUCUCAUUAGCGAAAGGUUCGACGUUCGGUGGAAAAUGCUGUAAGAACUUACGUAAUGAUCGUGUGACGAAACUUCUGUUCACAGACAUAAGUGCGUGCUUGCAUGCGUGCAUGCAUGCAUGCAUGCAUGCAUGCAUAUUCUAUUUCGUUUUUCUACUUUGUUAAUGUUAUACUUAGCUUCUCGCUGCGUCUGCAACGUGAACUUCGGUUACGUCCGAAAGUUCACAUCGUAUACUAGAACUAUCGAUCCUGAUGAACACAAUUUCGUCUAGACAUCAAUUCUAAUUACUUAAGCACAAGGUCAAAAAAUUUGCUCAAUAAUAAUGGAAAAGAUACGGUAAUUAUAUUCGUUUUGAAAUAUUUUCAGAUAACCAA
This is a long non-coding RNA of Acromyrmex echinatior (Panamanian leafcutter ant), 2054 nucleotides long. The record is from RefSeq and is a predicted model, not a curated record. NCBI's taxonomy places the organism in Eukaryota, Metazoa, Arthropoda, Insecta, Hymenoptera, Formicidae.